GUACAGGUGCUAGAGUGGUUAAUAGGGUGGAUUGCAAAUCCAUUGUUCGUGAGUUCGAAUCUCACCCAGCACU
This 73-nucleotide transfer RNA is filed under the name Candidatus Poribacteria bacterium. RNAcentral describes it as "tRNA-Cys". It matches the Rfam family "tRNA". From Rfam's summary of the family: Transfer RNA (tRNA) molecules are approximately 80 nucleotides in length. Their secondary structure includes four short double-helical elements and three loops (D, anti-codon, and T loops). The record is from RNAcentral. Lineage: Bacteria; Candidatus Poribacteria.